CGGCUCCUUUCCUUAUAUGUCUAACCCUGGCCUGGAGCACUGGAGGAUGAGGUCCGCUGACUGCAGCGUCCAUCCUGGUCCUCCCCAGGCACUGUGGCCUCCCUCACAGCAUGGCUGCCUUGGGUACUCGGACUUCACGUGGAAGGCCAGGGCUCCGAGAGCAAAUGCCCCAGCAAGACAGAAGCUCAGCCGCCUUUGAUGACCUAGAAGCUAGGCAGCAUCCAUUGUACUGCCUUCUAUGGGUUGUGAGUGAGUCCCAAACCUGCCUUGACUCAAGGAAACGGAAUUAGGCUCUACGUCUUGACUAGGUAGUGGCGAAGUUCUGGAAGCACAUGAGUAGGAGAUACUGUGACGGUUUCAUCUUUGGAAAAUACCAUCUAGCACACCUGAAUCUGCUUUCAGGGGGUGUAAGGGGAUUUCCAUGGCAAAAUUUGAAGCCACAUGUGGUCACUGCUUUGUACUGAGGAAACAAAGUGCUCUGGGCAUCCAGAAAGGGGGUACGUUUUUUCUUACUGGGAUAAAUCUGGCUGCAUUUUAGCUAAUCCUGGAAAAUUGAUCGACAAAAGCAAAGGACCAAGAAAGCUGCUUAUAUCAGUGUCUCCUCCACCCUCAGCCUCCAGUAGCAUCCCUACGUUUUACAAUUUUAUUUAUGUCACUUUAAAUAAGGACAUUGAGAGGGAAAAGGCCUCAUCGACAUACCAACUACAGGCCAGGUGGACCUUCGGUGCACACACACCCCAGCGCCCACAGAGAUCCAGGCCUCCUGUGUAUGAAUGUGUGCCAUGAAUUUAGACCUAUUUCUCGCCUUCCGGGCUCUCUAUUCCUCAUCCUCCAUCCAAGUGGCCAUCUUGUGCAGAUGGACACAGCAGCAGCACAUAAGAGCACACGCGUGGGGCUCCAGCCCGGCCACGGGGAGACCUUUUCUCAGCAAAGGGCAGCACUGCUCGCUUUGCUGGGGCAGCCCUCCCAGGAAGAUCCCAGAAGAGAUGGUCUGAGGUGUGUGAACACUGUGAAUGUCAUGGACAAAGCUCAGCGUGGGACCCCAUGGGACUUCACCAGCCAGCUUGCUUCCCAGUAGCCUCUGCCAAUGGGAGACACUGGUGGGAGCUUGGAAGGAGGGUAGAAGGGAGAAAGAAGCUGAUUUUAUUUCUCCUUCUGUUGAAGUCUCUGGCAGUGGCAGCAGUAGCAGCAGUGGCAGCAGCUGCGGCAAUAGCAGUAGCAGCGGCAGUACUCGGCUUCCUGAAAGAUUUCCAAUAACGGCCGUGGAGCAGCAAGUAUCACAGCAGCUUCAGCCACCGAGCAAUCACCGACUCUUUGUGGAUCACACCAUAUUUCCUUUUGUUCAGCCAGCCUUAGGACGGUAGUAGUAGCUUCCUGCAGUUACUGGUCUCUGAAUGAUCUCAGCUCUCCCCUUUUAUUCUCCUCCAGCUCUUCAACACAUUUGCAGCCCAUUUCCUAGGUUAACUUUCUUCUACUUGAAAUUCCUAGGGUAGUUUCCGUUCUGCUGACUGGACACUGUCCAGUAUACACGUUUAUAAGGCCCUGAAAGCAGCAGAUCUCACCUGCAUUGGAGGAUGAGACGCCACAUGAAGAAGAAAGAAGACGCCACAGACAGCAGCGCAGUACCACCUUCCAGAGAUGUGAGUGUGACCGUCUUUGACCUUCUAGCCCAGCUGCUUUCCCUGAAUGCAAUGCAUGAGCAGGCCAGGCAAAACUAGAGAGGGAAGCUGCCCAGCUAACCCACAGAAUUAUGAGAGAUAAAAAAUCAUUGUCUUAAGCCACUAAGUCUGUUAUGCAGCAAUAUAUAGCAUUCAUUCAACUUUUGUCUCAUGAAUACUCUCAUUUCUUUUAUAAGUUCUUUUGUGGUUCAAAUUAGCUCAAAUCAGUUUCUGAUGCUUAUGACCAAAUGCCCCUAUGUGAUAGAUUUUGAGGGGUUAAGAAGCUUGCUCGGAUCACACAGCGGUAAGUAGCAGCACUUCAUCUUUAACCCACCUCUGGCCCACUCCCUUUCCAUAGGUCCUUGUUGCCUCCCUCCCUAAUCCCUUCCAGUCUAGUUUCCUCACUCAUUUUAGCAUCUUGAAGAUGCCUGACCUUUUGUAACAGGCACUUAGAAGAGGCAAUAAUCAAGCUGUGAGCUGGAAUACUGGGUUUCUCAUCCAAUAACCAGGUUGGCAGGUUGGUAACCAUACAAGGGACUUUUCAAACUGGAGAAUUAGUGUGCUGAGCACAAAGUGGUGAGUAUUUUGAGAGUUACUGAAAUAUAAUUGACAUAACAAUAAAAAUACAAUAUUUAAGUGCAUGUAUUUCAAGUGUACGAUUUGACAAGUUUGGUUAUAUUAUAUACACCUACGAAACCAUCACCACAAUUAAGAAAAUGAGCAUAGCUAUCACACACAAAAGUUUCCUUGUGCCCCUUGGUAAUUCCUCCCUCUCUCCUGCCCACAUCUCUCCUUUUCCCAGGCAAUCCCUGAUCUGAUUUCUGCCGCUAUCAAUUCGUUUGCAUUUCCUAGAAUUUUAAAUAACUGAAAACAUACAUUAAGAACUCUUUUUCUCUGGCCGAGUAUGGUGGCUCACGCCUGUAAUCCCAGCACUUUGGGUGGCCAAGGCGGGCAGAUCACCUGAGGUCAGGAGUUCGAGACCACCCUGGCCAACGUGGUGAAACCCUGUCUCUACUAAACAUACAAAAAUUAGCCAGGCAUGGUAAUGGGCAUCUGUAAUCCCAGCUACUCGCGAGGCUGAGGCAGGAGAAUUGCUUGAACCUGGGAGACAGAGGUUGCAGUGGGCUGAGAUCACGCCACUGCACUCCAGCAUGGACAACAGAGCGAGACUCCGUCCC
RNAcentral lists this long non-coding RNA (2836 nucleotides) under Homo sapiens (human). Its description in RNAcentral is "long non-coding RNA NONHSAT200794.1". Lineage: Eukaryota; Metazoa; Chordata; Mammalia; Primates; Hominidae. The record is from RNAcentral.